RNAcentral lists this ribosomal RNA (253 nucleotides) under uncultured bacterium. RNAcentral describes it as "partial 16S ribosomal RNA". It matches the Rfam family "Bacterial small subunit ribosomal RNA", at positions 524 to 776 of the family's 1533-position model. The record is from RNAcentral.
UACAGAGGGUGCAAGCGUUAAUCGGAAUUACUGGGCGUAAAGCGUGCGCAGGCGGUUAUGUAAGACAGAUGUGAAAUGCCCGGGCUUAACCUGGGAACUGCAUUUGUGACUGCAUGGCUAGAGUUUGGCAGAGGGGGGUAGAAUUCCACGUGUAGCAGUGAAAUGCGUAGAUAUGUGGAGGAACACCGAUGGCGAAGGCAGCCCCCUGGGUCAAGACUGACGCUCAUGCACGAAAGCGUGGGGAGCAAACAGG